RNAcentral lists this ribosomal RNA (460 nucleotides) under uncultured bacterium. RNAcentral's name for it is "partial 16S ribosomal RNA". It matches the Rfam family "Bacterial small subunit ribosomal RNA", at positions 338 to 795 of the family's 1533-position model. The record is from RNAcentral.
CCUACGGGGGGCAGCAGUGAGGAAUAUUGGUCAAUGGACGAGAGUCUGAACCAGCCAAGUAGCGUGAAGGAUGACUGCCCUAUGGGUUGUAAACUUCUUUUAUAUGGGAAUAAAAUGUUCCACGUGUGGGAUUUUGUAUGUACCAUAUGAAUAAGGAUCGGCUAACUCCGUGCCAGCAGCCGCGGUAAUACGGAGGAUCCGAGCGUUAUCCGGAUUUUUUGGGUUUAAAGGGAGAGUAGGUGGAUUGUUAAGUCAGUUGUGAAAGUUUGCGGCUCAACCGCAAAAUUGCAGUUGAUACUGGCAGUCUUGAGUACAGUAGAGGUGGGCGGAAUUCGUGGUGUAGCGGUGAAAUGCUUAGAUAUCACGAAGAACUCCGAUUGCGAAGGCAGCUCACUGGACUGCAACUGACACUGAGGCUCGAAAGUGUGGGUAUCAAACAGGAUUAGAUACCCGUGUAGUC